Molecule: transfer RNA, 71 nt
Filed under: Camelus bactrianus (Bactrian camel)
Lineage: Eukaryota; Metazoa; Chordata; Mammalia; Artiodactyla; Camelidae
Also listed under: 2 other names
Rfam family: tRNA
About the family: Transfer RNA (tRNA) molecules are approximately 80 nucleotides in length. Their secondary structure includes four short double-helical elements and three loops (D, anti-codon, and T loops).
Source: Rfam by way of RNAcentral
GUGGGUAUAGGUCAGUGGUAGAAUGCAUGCUUAGCAUGCAUGAAGUUCUGGUUCAAUGCCCGGUACCUCCA